Molecule: ribosomal RNA, 253 nt
Filed under: uncultured bacterium
Lineage: Bacteria
Description: partial 16S ribosomal RNA
Rfam family: Bacterial small subunit ribosomal RNA
Source: RNAcentral
AACGUAGGUUCCGAGCGUUAUCCGGAUUUACUGGGCGUAAAGCGCGUUCAGGCGGUUUGGCAAGUCGGGCAUGAAAUCUCUCGGCUCAACCGGGAGAGGUUGUCCGAUACUGCUGGACUUGAGGGCAGUAGAGGGUGGUGGAAUUCCGGGUGUAGUGGUGAAAUGCGUAGAUAUCCGGAGGAACACCAGUGGCGAAAGCGGCCACCUGGACUACACCUGACGCUGACACGCGAAAGCUAGGGGAGCGAACGGG